GGCCCAGUGGCCUAAUGGAGAAGGCAUCAGUCUUCGGAGCUGAAGAUUGUGGGUUUGAGUCCCAUCUGGGUCG
Molecule: non-coding RNA, 73 nt
Organism: Ameiurus melas (black bullhead)
Lineage: Eukaryota; Metazoa; Chordata; Actinopteri; Siluriformes; Ictaluridae
Source: the annotation of a GenBank genome assembly